ACGAACGCUGGCGGCAUGCCUAACACAUGCAAGUCGAACGAGACCUUCGGGUCUAGUGGCGCACGGGUGCGUAACGCGUGGGAACCUGCCCUUAGGUUCGGAAUAACUCCCCGAAAGGGGUGCUAAUACCGGAUAAUGUCUUCGGACCAAAGAUUUAUCGCCUUUGGAUGGGCCCGCGUUGGAUUAGCUAGUUGGUAGGGUAAAAGCCUACCAAGGCGACGAUCCAUAGCUGGUCUGAGAGGAUGAUCAGCCACACUGGGACUGAGACACGGCCCAGACUCCUACGGGAGGCAGCAGUAGGGAAUAUUGGACAAUGGGCGAAAGCCUGAUCCAGCAAUGCCGCGUGAGUGAUGAAGGCCUUAGGGUUGUAAAGCUCUUUUACCCGGGAUGAUAAUGACAGUACCGGGAGAAUAAGCUCCGGCUAACUCCGUG
This 432-nucleotide ribosomal RNA is filed under the name uncultured bacterium. Its description in RNAcentral is "partial 16S ribosomal RNA". It matches the Rfam family "Bacterial small subunit ribosomal RNA", at positions 29 to 507 of the family's 1533-position model. The record is from RNAcentral.